This 396-nucleotide ribosomal RNA is filed under the name uncultured bacterium. RNAcentral describes it as "bacterial SSU rRNA". It matches the Rfam family "Bacterial small subunit ribosomal RNA", at positions 355 to 768 of the family's 1533-position model. The record is from RNAcentral.
UCGGGAAUUUUGGGCAAUGGGCGAAAGCCUGACCCAGCAACGCCGCGUGAGGGAUGAUGUAUUUCGGUAUGUAAACCUCGAAAGAAUGGGAAGAAUAAAUGACGGUACCAUUUAUAAGCUCCGGCUAACUACGUGCCAGCAGCCGCGGUAAUACGUAGGGAGCAAGCGUUGUUCGGAUUUACUGGGCGUAAAGGGCGCGUAGGCGGCGCGGUAAGUCACUUGUGAAAUCUCUGAGCUUAACUCAGAACGGCCAAGUGAUACUGCUGUGCUAGAGUGCGGAAGAGGCAACCGGAAUUCUUGGUGUAGCGGUGAAAUGCGUAGAUAGCAAGAGGAACACCUGAGGCGAAGGCGGGUUGCUAGGCUGACACUGACGCUGAGGCGCAAAAGCCAGGGGAG